RNAcentral lists this ribosomal RNA (253 nucleotides) under uncultured bacterium. RNAcentral's name for it is "partial 16S ribosomal RNA". It matches the Rfam family "Bacterial small subunit ribosomal RNA", at positions 524 to 776 of the family's 1533-position model. The record is from RNAcentral.
UACGAAGGGUGCAAACGUUGCUCGGAAUCAUUGGCCGUAAAGCGCACGUAGGCGGCCCCAUAAGUCGGAUGUGAAAUCCCUCGGCUCAACCGAGGAAGUGCAUCCGAAACUGCGGGGCUCGAGUAUGGAAGAGGGUCGCAGAAUUCCCGGUGUAGAGGUGAAAUUCGUAGAUAUCGGGAGGAAUACCAGUGGCGAAGGCGGCGACCUGGGCCAAUACUGACGCUGAGGUGCGAAAGCGUGGGGAGCAAACAGG